CCUUCACCUUUCACUCAACUGCAUUCUCAUGUUCCAAAAUCACCCAUCACCUACACCCUCAUCUUUUUUUAUCAUGAUUAUGUUUAUAAGCCAAAAUUUAAGUUUUUAACCUUAAUUUUAUAGUUAUUUUGAGAUUUAUUCAUCAUAGUUUAUUUUUUAGUCUUGACUUUUCGAUCACUAAGAACACGUAUAUAAAAAUU
RNAcentral lists this long non-coding RNA (200 nucleotides) under Oryza brachyantha (malo sina). RNAcentral's name for it is "long non-coding RNA (OBRA_LNC003215)". Lineage: Eukaryota; Viridiplantae; Streptophyta; Magnoliopsida; Poales; Poaceae. The record is from RNAcentral.